This 971-nucleotide ribosomal RNA is filed under the name Glutamicibacter sp. Its description in RNAcentral is "bacterial SSU rRNA". It matches the Rfam family "Bacterial small subunit ribosomal RNA", at positions 34 to 1016 of the family's 1533-position model. The record is from RNAcentral. Lineage: Bacteria; Bacillati; Actinomycetota; Actinomycetes; Micrococcales; Micrococcaceae.
CGCUGGCGGCGUGCUUAACACAUGCAAGUCGAACGAUGAAGCCCAGCUUGCUGGGUGGAUUAGUGGCGAACGGGUGAGUAACACGUGAGUAACCUGCCCCCGACUCUGGGAUAAGCCCGGGAAACUGGGUCUAAUACCGGAUAUGACCUCGCACCGCAUGGUGCGGGGUGGAAAGAUUUAUCGGUGGGGGAUGGACUCGCGGCCUAUCAGCUUGUUGGUGAGGUAAUGGCUCACCAAGGCGACGACGGGUAGCCGGCCUGAGAGGGUGACCGGCCACACUGGGACUGAGACACGGCCCAGACUCCUACGGGAGGCAGCAGUGGGGAAUAUUGCACAAUGGGCGAAAGCCUGAUGCAGCGACGCCGCGUGAGGGAUGACGGCCUUCGGGUUGUAAACCUCUUUCAGUAGGGAAGAAGCGAAAGUGACGGUACCUGCAGAAGAAGCGCCGGCUAACUACGUGCCAGCAGCCGCGGUAAUACGUAGGGCGCAAGCGUUAUCCGGAUUUAUUGGGCGUAAAGAGCUCGUAGGCGGUUUGUCGCGUCUGCCGUGAAAGUCCGAGGCUCAACCUCGGAUCUGCGGUGGGUACGGGCAGACUAGAGUGAUGUAGGGGAGACUGGAAUUCCUGGUGUAGCGGUGAAAUGCGCAGAUAUCAGGAGGAACACCGAUGGCGAAGGCAGGUCUCUGGGCAUUUACUGACGCUGAGGAGCGAAAGCAUGGGGAGCGAACAGGAUUAGAUACCCUGGUAGUCCAUGCCGUAAACGUUGGGCACUAGGUGUGGGGGACAUUCCACGUUUUCCGCGCCGUAGCUAACGCAUUAAGUGCCCCGCCUGGGGAGUACGGCCGCAAGGCUAAAACUCAAAGGAAUUGACGGGGGCCCGCACAAGCGGCGGAGCAUGCGGAUUAAUUCGAUGCAACGCGAAGACCUUACCAAGGCUUGACAUGUGCCAGACCGCUCCAGAGAUGGGGUUUCC